Molecule: non-coding RNA, 287 nt
Organism: Pelobates cultripes (western spadefoot toad)
Lineage: Eukaryota; Metazoa; Chordata; Amphibia; Anura; Pelobatidae
Source: the annotation of a GenBank genome assembly
GUACAAGGCUAAAUAGGGCCCUGGGAUGAGGCACCUGUGACAGGGAGGGGCGCAAAACCAAGGAGUUGGCUAGACUCCCAAAUAUAUACAUAUGAAACAAGGGGGGGUUGGCUCCACUCACCUGAACAUGCAUAAAUGGGGGUGCUGCUGGGGGCCAAAUAAUACAAAACACAAGAUCCAGCGCACUCACCUAUCCACUAAACAGCAACUUCAAAGUUGAAAGAUUUGGUUUUGCACCCCUCCCUGUCACAGGUGCCUCAUCCCAGGGCCCUAUUUAGCCUUGUACU